UACAGAGGUCUCAAGCGUUGUUCGGAUUCAUUGGGCGUAAAGGGUGCGUAGGUGGCGUCGUAAGUCGGGUGUGAAAUUUCGGAGCUUAACUCCGAAACUGCAUUCGAUACUGCGGUGCUUGAGGACUGGAGAGGAGACUGGAAUUCAUGGUGUAGCAGUGAAAUGCGUAGAGAUCAUGAGGAAGACCAGUGGCGAAGGCGGGUCUCUGGACAGUUCCUGACACUGAGGCACGAAGGCCAGAGGAGCAAACGGG
This 253-nucleotide ribosomal RNA is filed under the name uncultured bacterium. RNAcentral describes it as "partial 16S ribosomal RNA". It matches the Rfam family "Bacterial small subunit ribosomal RNA", at positions 524 to 776 of the family's 1533-position model. The record is from RNAcentral.